Molecule: long non-coding RNA, 398 nt
Filed under: Panax ginseng (ginseng)
Lineage: Eukaryota; Viridiplantae; Streptophyta; Magnoliopsida; Apiales; Araliaceae
Description: long non-coding RNA (PGIN_LNC006793)
Source: RNAcentral
UGAAAAUUUGUCUACCCAUCUAUGUUUGCAAAGUCUGGGGCUGUAGAUCGUGAGAGUUUAAAUUGUGCAGAUUAGAAGGGGGUAUGCUCUUAAUGGGUCUGAACUUAGGAGAAUUGAUCUGAAGUGGGGGAGGACAUCGGCGAUGGCCAAGAUCAAAUCAGAGCCGUCGAGUAAUGACGUCGUUUCCAGAGCUAAGACGACAAAUUGUCCAAUCCGACGAGAUCUCUGUUCUCUGAUCUAUCUAUUUACUUUGAUAAGUUAGCAAAUAAGUAAAUAACUUGUUGUUUCUUUAUUUAUUCUUUUUUUUUAAUUCGAAACAAAUGCCUUGAUGUAAUUGCUUGCAAUGAUACCAGAUUUAUAAGCAAUACAUGAUUGUUCCCUAUAUAUGUUGUAUUGCC